Molecule: long non-coding RNA, 1723 nt
Organism: Acanthochromis polyacanthus (spiny chromis)
Lineage: Eukaryota; Metazoa; Chordata; Actinopteri; Pomacentridae
Exons: 3
Source: RefSeq, a predicted model, not a curated record
CCUUCAAUGCCACCAGUUUUGUGAUUCCUUCUCUGGAAUGUAAGUGAAAGGAAACGUGCUGACACUCACCUUGCAAUCAUCACAUCAUGAACCUGUUAAUUUAAGUGUCUCUGUUGUUAUGGUUUCAGGUGGGUGUGGCUAAUAUCUGACCAUGGUGAAAUCGUGUGCUGCCAUCUCCUGCACCAAUCGAUUUGUAAUAUUUCCUUUCAUAAGUUUCCCAAGCAGUCCAAGGACAGCACACUGAGAAAGCAAUGGAUACAGGCCAUCAGUAGAGAAGCGGUGGGGACCAAGAGGAGAUGAUCAUAAUUAUGUAUGCAGCAACCAUUUCAGAGAGGAGGACUUCAUCCUCUCAAAACAUGCGCAACACAAGCUUCUCAGGCCAGGGGCUGUACCAUCCCUCAAUUUGGGGAAACCAGAGAAAAAGAUGGCAGUGAGGACAACCCAAACCAGCCAGGCAGCAGUGGCAUUAUACCAGCACAUGGACAUGGAGCCUGAACAAGAGUCUGAAGAGGGCAGUGCUGCUGUUAGUGAACACCAUGCAUACUGUACAGACAGCGACAACCUGAAGAGGAAAUAUGACGAUCUAAUUGUACAGCUUGAAAAGCUGAGGCAGGACUUCAACAAUGCCAAACGUAGAGAGAAGCGCUGCAGAGUGACGUUGGAGGCCAUGUUAGCUAAAACAAAGGAAAUACAAGCUCUGUCUGAUGAUGCUCAUUCCAUGCUUGCUGCAUAUAAAGGUAUUCCUUGUUUAGAAGUACAUAUGAGUGACAUGCAGCAUAUUUAAAUAUAAUUAUGUAACUGCACAUUGCUCACCCACACAGUGCACUAGAACUGAGAUCAAUGUUUGUUAAUGCAACAUUAUAUAAACAAUUUUGCGGCUGUGAUACCCAACAUUCAUGUGGAAACUAUCUAAGCUAUUAACUAUGUUUGAUCACACUUAAUUUUCAAUUACAGGUAAAUUGAUGUUGAUAGACCCUGUUUCUUUACCAGAAUAAUGUCAUUUGUUUGUAACUCCACAACACCUGAAAUUGGGACAUAUAUACAACACGCAUUUAGGUUGAAUAUUUAUGAAAAUUGCAAAUUAAACUCAAAGGGUUGACUGAACUUUGAUGGUUCCUCAUGAAGCAUGAUGUCCUGUAUAAAUGCUGUCUACAUACUGCAAUCUGCCUGAAAGUUUAUGUGAUUGAUCACAGUCCUGCUGUGAUGACAUCCAUAUGCCAAUGUGCACUCAGUCAUAGCGUCACCUGCUGCAGAGGAAGUUACAAGUUUUACACUUUAAUGUUGUACUAUACUUUUAAUAAAUUUAUCUGCACUUUUUUCAUUUACUUUAAAUUAACUUCUUUUCUAUUGGUUGUUGCAAUUAGUGUCUGACAUGCUUUUAUUUUUUUCCAUUUCUUGUCUUCUUUUGGCUGUUUUACUCAAUCAGUUUUAAUUAUUCUAGAAAUGAGUGUCCAUUGUAUUCAAUGAACCUUUUCUGAUUAAAGUGACUUCAUUUUUUAUUACACUACUUUAUUUUUUACAUUUUACUCUGAAAAACCUCUGUGUAUGUUAAGGUACUACAUAAAUAAUGUUGCUUGAUUUCUUGCUCAAGAACUUUUUUGCAAGCUGUUCUUGUUGACGUGUUUGUGGAACUUUCAUGAAAGUUCUUUGACAUUUCAGGUCUCAGUCAUCUGCUUCACAUUUAACAGAACAAAAGCAAAUUAAACUUUUCAUAGGAUCUUAA